UGCGUAGGCGGAUUAAUAAGUCAGUGGUGAAAACCUGCAGCUUAACUGUAGACUUGCCAUUGAUACUGUUAUUCUUGAGUACGGUCAAGGUAGGCGGAAUGUGUAAUGUAGCGGUGAAAUGCUUAGAUAUUACACAGAACACCGAUUGCGAAGGCAGCUUACUGGGCCAUUACUGACGCUGGGGCACGAAAGCGUGGGGAGCGAACAGGAUUAGAUACCCUGGUAGUCC
This 229-nucleotide ribosomal RNA is filed under the name uncultured bacterium. Its description in RNAcentral is "partial 16S ribosomal RNA". It matches the Rfam family "Bacterial small subunit ribosomal RNA", at positions 568 to 796 of the family's 1533-position model. The record is from RNAcentral.